Pan troglodytes (chimpanzee) is the source of this 5373-nucleotide long non-coding RNA. RefSeq lists it as uncharacterized. NCBI's taxonomy places the organism in Eukaryota, Metazoa, Chordata, Mammalia, Primates, Hominidae. The transcript has 3 exons. The record is from RefSeq and is a predicted model, not a curated record.
GAUAACUGGGGGCAAAGCCCAUGCAAAUACUCGGUGACCAGGAGAGUGGCCGUGUGGAGAAGCAGGGCAGGAAUGUGACCACCCAGCUGGGUGAGGGGCUGCUGGCGUGGAGGCAGCUGCCUGCUCAGCUCAGCCCAGCUGCAUUUUCUCCUCUUGCACCCUGGUGAGAACCAGUCUUCCUUCGGUUCUGCCUGAGGACCCUGUAGGUGCUGAAAAUGGAAUACAGCUGGCAGGUAGUGGGGAGACAGUGGAAACGUGCCCUGAUACUAUUCUGAGAAAAAAAAAAGAGCUUUAUUGCUUCUUGUCAGACUAUACUAUGUUUUAGGAAGUGUUGGGUUCCCCCAAAGAGAAGGUGCAGGGUGCUGGGAGCAGGAUCCUCAGUUUGUAAGAACGCACUCACUGCUCCAAGGCAGCCAACAAAAAAUUUUUAAAAAGGGUGAUUGAAGGUUCAACUUUUGACAUGUAAAAUCCAGUCAUAGCUUGGGUUUCCCAGAAGCAGUCCCUGAGACAAAGAUUUUAGUGCAACAGUUUAUAUGGGAGGCGAUCCUGGGAAACACCAGAAGGGAAGUGGAAAAUUGAAAUGUCGAAGGAAGCCAAUAAAAUAUGCGUUAUUGAGCAGAUGGCCCCUGUGACCAACUAGGCUCAGUAUCUCUGGGGAACCCCCAGAGACAGUGUAGAGUAAAUUCCAGAAUUAUGCCAUCCAAGGGAAAAGGGAGCUGAAUCAUUCAUCUCUCAGCUGUUGCAAGCUAUUGGUGGAGGGAUUUUCCCAAGAGGCAUUACCUCCCAGGCUUGUCCUCACUUUGCCUGUGUGGCCUCCAGUGAUCAGACAAAACCCAAAGGAAAAGAGCCAGGGUGCGGAUUGGCAGAAGCUAUUCUGGCCCAUGUGCAGAGCAUCAAGAAUGUGUGCUGCAAAAGGCUGGAGUUCAAUGGCACAAUCUCGGCUCAUUGCAACCUCUGCCUUCCAGGUUCAAGCGAUUCUCCUACCUCAGCCUCUCAGUAGCUGGGAUUACAGGCACCCGCCACCACAUCCAGACAUUUAGAAAUUAUUACAGGAACUUUUUCUGGACAGACAAGAACCUAAGUCUGAACAUCUAAAAGGCUCACAAAGAAUCAAGCAAAUUCAUUGAAAGAGACCAACACUUAUUAGACCUAUCUUCGUGAACUGAAGAUCGAGAAAAAAAUUCCAAGAGGCAUUUGGACAGAAAAGCAUGUUGACUCCACAGGAACAAAAAUCAAACUGCAUUCAAAAUUCUCCUCUGCAAUGUCUAAUGGCAGGAGAAAUAAAAUGGUACCAACAGAGCUUCAAGGGAAAAAGACUGCAUUCUAAGAAACCUAUAUUUAGGAAGUUGUUCAAGUGAAAGGGUAAUGGAAGAAAUGUUCUUAGAUGUGCAACUCACUGUUACAACCUUCUAAACAAAGCCCUCGAAGACCUGAUUUAACUGACAGUGAAUGAAUCUAAAUACAGAGCUGUGGGAUGUGAGAGUCACAUCAGUGACCACUGAAACAAGUAUAAAGAAAAUUAAGUCUAGAUGAUUGUUUUACAUAUAAUUAUAAAACAGAAUAAAAGUGUAAAACGCAACUCUUGGAAGAGGAUAUUUAUAGUAUAAAAAUGGCCUAAUUAUAAUAAUUUGAACCUAAUGUUUUGCCGUACAAAAAUAGAAAUGAAGGAGAUAGAACGGUAGGAGAAAACACUUAUUUCCUCAUUGUUCCCAAGAGGGAUAUUAUUUAACUCUUGAUAAAGAUAACUGAAAAUACAAACAGGAUGUAUCCUUUCUAAAUUACUAAAAAAAAUAAAAAAAAAAGCAAAGAAAAUAAAUUCCAUGUAACAAUCAUACUUUAUGUAACACACUGAAGUUUUUGGUCUUUAAUCUUCUUAUCUCCAGAGAUUGCUGCGACUCCUCAUCCACUCUGUAUCAUAGCAUCACCUCCAGUAUCAUUAAUGCAAGGCACCCCAUUUCUGACCACAGCUUCCUUCUUUUCCUUCUUGGCUUUAUUUUUAUUUAUUUAUUUAUUUUUGAGACGGAGCCUCGCUCUGUUGGCCCAGGUUAGAGUGCAGUGGCAUGAUCUCAGCUCACUGAAACCUCCACCUCUCAGGUUCAAGCAAUUCUCCAGCCUCAGCCUCCUGAAUAGCUAGGAUUACAGGCACCUGCCACCAUGCCUGGCUAAUUUUAGUAUUUUUAGUAGAGACAGGGUUUUGCCACGUUGGCCAGGCUGGUCUUGAACUCCUGACCUCAGAUGACCUGCCUGCCUUAGCCUCCCAAAGUGCUGGGAUUACAGACAUGAGCCACUGAGCCUGGCCACGUUCUUGGCUUUUUAAUUGCAACCAUUGAAAUAGAUCUUGAUUUCACUGUGACCUCUAGCUUCUUUAUCUUCAAUUUGCCCCAUCCUUCAGCCGUCCCCUUUCUUUAGUUUUCUACCUGUCCAGGUUAGAUUUCAGGGUCCAUUGUUUCAGCGAUAGUACUGCCAAAAUCCUAAACUCCCUUGCCCCUUUGGGCUUUUGUCAGACCCCAUCUGGCUGAAGACCAUUCCCAGAGCAACCCACACUGUGUGCUGUCUCUCUUCUUGUAUUUAAGCAGCUGGAGAAAAACACAACAGAGCAGAUUGUACCAUCAUAUAUUCAUAAGCAUGCAUUCUGAAUGGGCACCACAGUGCCAGAAUCCUUCAGAUAUCUCUGGUCAAUCUAUAGUCCAGCAAUCCACAAUGACCAUUCCAGAUCUUCUCUAGCUUCCUUAAAUGCCCAACUUUCCUACCCAUCAACGGAUGCCUUUAUUUCAUAUUUCACAGAGAUAAUAGACACUGUCACAUAAGGCAACUCCCCCCACUCCACACCCCCAAAUCCUGCUACCAAACUCACUAACACAACAGCAUCUGUACCUAUCUGGUCCUCCUUCCUGCCUAUUCCAUAGAGGAGCUGUUUUUCUUUCUGAAAGAGAUCAAUUCCUUACAUGUGCUUUAGACCCCAUCUCCUUUCUUCUUCGCAGGAAUCUUAUAAUUUAGGUGGUUCUGUAUCUCUUGAAUAUCCAAUCUCUUUUCAACCUCAUCAAUUGCUUCAAGUUGUAAACAUUAAACAAAUUAUAUUCAGCUUUCAAAAAAAAAAGGGAGGAAAUCCUGUCAUUUGGGACAACAUGGAUGAAACUAGAGGACAUUAUGGAAAAUGAAAUAAAGCAGACAUGGAAAGAAAAAUACUACAUGAUCUGACUUACAUGUGGAGUGUGAAAAAGAACUCAGAAGCAGGAAGUAGAAUGGUGGUUACCAGGGUCUUAAGGGGUUGGAGGGUUGGGAAGAUGUUGGUCAAAGGACACAACAUUUCAGGAGGAAUAAGUUCAAGAGAGCUAUUGUUUAACACGGGAACUAUAGUUAAUAACAAUGUAUUGCUUUCUUGGAAAUUGCCAAGAGAGUAGAUUUUAAGUGUUCUCACAGCAAAAAUGAUUAGUACGUGAGGUAAUGCAUAUGUUACUCAGCUCAAUGUAGCCAUUCCACAGUAUGUACAAGUUUCAAAGCAACAUGUUGUAUAUAAUAAAUACAUAUAACUUUGGCAAUCAAAUCAAAUAAAUAAAAGAAAAUAAAAAUAAAUGGAGAGAUAUUACAAAAAUUCUACUGCAUUAAUAGUCACUAAUUCCAGUGCUUUGUAUGCCUUUGUGGAAAGGUUUUCCAAUCGUGUGGCACUAUUGACUUUUUUUUUUUUUUUUUUUUUUUUUUUUUUUUUGGUGACGGAGUCUCGCUCUGUCACUCAGGCUGGAGUGCCAUAGCAUGAUCUCAGCUCAUUGCCAUCUCUGCCUCCCGGGGUUCAAGCCAUUCUCCUGUGUCAGCCUCCUGAGUAGCUGGGAUUACAGGCACAUGCCACCAUGCCCAGCUAGUUUUUGUAUUUUUAGUAGAGAUGGGGUUUCACUGUAUUGGUCAGGCUGGUCUCGAAUCCCUGACCUCAUGAUCCGCCCGCCUCGGCCUCCCAAAGUGCUGGGAUUACAGGCAUGAGCCACUACACCCGACCAGCACUAUUGACAUUUGAGUCCAUGUAAUUCUCUGCUGUGGAGGCUGUCCUGGGCAAUGUAGGGUGUUAAGCAUCAUCCCUGACUUCUACCCAUUAGAUGUCAGUAGGACCCUCCCCCACCUGUGACAAAACUCCUGAUCUUCUUCUGUUUCCUCUAACCUCCUGAUCUUCUAUCUUCUCCCCUUUCCUCUAAACUCAGUCCACUCUAAAGAUCUUAGAGAAUGACAACAUUAUGCAUACAGUUAAUUGCACAAGACUGAAAUCAGAGAGUCAGCCUUGAUACCACCUUCUUCUUCAUUUUUCAUGUGUGAUUCAUCAUCAAAUCACACUAUUUUUCACUUCCUAAAUAUACCCCAAUCCCAUCCAUCUUAUUCUUUCAUCACUGCCACCUCGCUAAUCCAAACUAUCAUAAUUUCUUACCUGGACCACUGCAAUAAAUUCCUAACUUCAUCCUGCGUCUUUGACUUCCUUCCAACUUGUUCACACUAUAGCUAGUGUACUUUUCAAAAUAUAAAUCUUGCAAACCCUUCACCCCCACCAACUUAUAAUCUAAAUAACCAAUUAACCAACUUAUGUCUUUGUAGGUAUAAUCUCUGCAAUAUACUCAUAUUCAAAAGCUAAGAAAUAGGUAGGAUCCAAACUCAGGUCAAUUUAUGUCUAUAAAGAGACAGUUUUUGAGUAUUUGAGUAAGUAUCAAUUCCAAAUGAGAGAGAACACUGAGUUUACAGGAGAGAAAGAGGAGAGAAUCAUAGGUGUGAUAGCAAGUGUUUGCACUGCACACACAUACAAAAAAUCAAGAGCUUCCUUCAAAUUUAUGCAGUUAAAUUUUGUAUUGGUUUGUUAUCCUUGGGAGAUGUCUAUACCUCCUAUUAGUUAUAGGGAUGAAGUAGAUAAGUAGAGGGUUAUGCAGGAGAAAGUUUAACAAAUCUUUGCUUUACAAGUAUGAUGUUCAGUCGCACUGAGACUGUUUUCUAAGUAUCUUGUGGGACACAAAUAGAAAGAUGAAUAGGAUGUUGUCCCGGUUUUCAAAGCUCUACUUGAAUUUUCCUGUCUCAUCAUUUACCUUUCCUGUCUCAUCCUUUGCAUUUCCUGUCUCAUCCUUUGCAUUUCCUGUCCCAUCAUUUGCAUUUCCUGUCUCAUCAUUUGCAUUCCCUAUCUCAUCAUUUGCAUUCCCUAUCUCAUCAUUUGCAUUUCCCUUCUCAUCAUUUGCAUUACCUCUGCCAAUGUUUUCCACCUCCCAAAACUCCAUCAUUUCUUCCCUUUCCACUAACAUUUUGCACAUGGCUGUAUUGUCAUUUUUCCUAACCUAAGGGGAAAUAAAAAAUCCAACAAGACCUUGUUCAAAUCACAUUCCAAAUAAGGAGGAGGAAUGAGUUGUAAGAGUU